RNAcentral lists this ribosomal RNA (468 nucleotides) under uncultured bacterium. Its description in RNAcentral is "partial 16S ribosomal RNA". It matches the Rfam family "Bacterial small subunit ribosomal RNA", at positions 28 to 507 of the family's 1533-position model. The record is from RNAcentral.
GACGAACGCUGGCGGCGUGCUUAACACAUGCAAGUCGAACGGAAAGGCCCUGCUUUUGUGGGGUGCUCGAGUGGCGAACGGGUGAGUAACACGUGAGUAACCUGCCCUUGACUUUGGGAUAACUUCAGGAAACUGGGGCUAAUACCGGAUAGGAGCUCCUGCUGCAUGGUGGGGGUUGGAAAGUUUCGGCGGUUGGGGAUGGACUCGCGGCUUAUCAGCUUGUUGGUGGGGUAGUGGCUUACCAAGGCUUUGCCGGGUAGCCGGCCUGAGAGGGUGACCGGCCACAUUGGGACUGAGAUACGGCACAGACUCCUACGGGAGGCAGCAGUGGGGAAUAUUGCACAAUGGGCGGAAGCCUGAUGCAGCAACGCCGCGUGCGGGAUGACGGCCUUCGGGUUGUAAACCGCUUUCGCCUGUGACGAAGCGUGAGUGACGGUAAUGGGUAAAGAAGCACCGGCUAACUACGUG